UACGAAGGUCCCAAGCGUUAUCCGGAUUUAUUGGGUUUAAAGGGUGCGUAGGCGGGUUAUUAAGUCAGUGGUGAAAGCCUGCAGCUUAACUGCAGAAUUGCCAUUGAUACUGAUGAUCUUGAGUAUGAUUGAGGUGGGCGGAAUGUGUCAUGUAGCGGUGAAAUGCUUAGAUAUGACACAGAACACCGAUUGCGAAGGCAGCUCACUAAGUCAUAACUGACGCUGAUGCACGGAAGCGUGGGGAGCAAACAGG
Molecule: ribosomal RNA, 253 nt
Filed under: uncultured bacterium
Lineage: Bacteria
Description: partial 16S ribosomal RNA
Rfam family: Bacterial small subunit ribosomal RNA
Source: RNAcentral